CCUCCUUAUACGAUUUAGAACUUAUUUGUUCGUAGUGUCCACACAGAUGAUUGUUAGUUAGUUUUACCCUUUGGGUUAACUAAUUAAUAUGCUCUUUAAAAAUUUGGAAAAGCUGAUAAUAAAAUUCGUAUGAAUAACAUUGUUAUUUGUACAGAGUUUUCAAAAGUAAAAAAGAAUGAUAGCAGUAUCAUUCAGUGCCAAUUUAAUCCCCGGAUUAAUUGGUAUCUACUUUAGUAUUCAAUAUUAACUACUGGCGAAGUUAAACUGUCACGAAACAAAGACCCGUUUGGGUUGUAUGGUUAAGUGACUAAGCGUACACGGUGGAUGC
Molecule: unclassified non-coding RNA, 328 nt
Filed under: uncultured Pseudoalteromonas sp.
Lineage: Bacteria; Pseudomonadati; Pseudomonadota; Gammaproteobacteria; Alteromonadales; Pseudoalteromonadaceae
Description: partial 16S-23S ribosomal RNA intergenic spacer
Source: RNAcentral